GAGUUGUAAUGUAGGCUUAGAAGAAUGCAUGGUCUGUGCAGUUUUCUCACUUAGGAUGUGGAAGGUCAAUCAGGUUCCAGAAACCUUAAAGGAGGUUCUAUAUGGAUGAUAUGGCCCCUCAUCUGGCCUGGAAGAUCAAGUUUGAACAGUCUAGUCACAAGUGUAGCUCAGCAUCCCAGAAUGCAGUACUGGUGGAAAUCCUGUUAAAGUGCCCACACUUCUGUUUUAAUGCAGGAGAACAUCUGCUAGGAGUCCAUCUGUUUACAUCAGGGUUCCCUGGGGUUUGCAGAAAGCAUAGAGGUCCCUAGACUCCACCUUAUCUUCCCAGUGUAUAUAUGGGGGGAGGGUGGUUUGGAAGAAAAAAAUGGAGGAGAAAAAACUUGACAUUUUGUGAACUCCAUGGCAAUUCUGAUCUCAUUGCCUCAUUUUUUCCCUCCUCCCAGAUAAGACUUCCCUGGAUUCUAGGAUUCUUGAGUAGAUGAGUUCCAAGGAAGACUGUCUAAUUCUAGCAAUUCUAAACCCAUGGGUCAUCAAGUUUCCAUGCUGUGAUCUAAGGAUGAUCUCUGGCCAACAGCCAGUGAGGAACCAAGGCUCACACUCCGAAUUCUAUCAGCAACUAUAUGAGCUACUACAGAUAAAGCUGCUAUGAACAAUCAGGCACACAAUGCUAUGUGGGCAAAUUCUUUCAUUUCUCUGGGAUAAAUGUCCAGGAGUACAACUGCUGAGUUAUAUGAUUCCUCUCCACUGUGGGUUAGUACAAGAUACUGAAUAUAGUCCCCUGUGCUAUACAGUAGGUCCUUGUUUAUCUAUUUCAUAUAGUGUGUAUUUGUUAAUCCCAAACUCCUAAUUUACUCCCCACCACCGCCAUUUAUUUUUUAAAGAAUUGCCAAACUAUUUUUCCAGAGUGGCUAUACCAUAUUACAUUCCCACCAGGAAUAUGUAAGAGAUCCGUUUCUCAACAUCCUUGCCAGAAUUUAUAGUAUUGUUGCUAUUUUCAAUUUUAGAUUUUCUAAUAGGCAUGUGGUGGUUUCUCAUUGUGGUUUUAAUUUUGCUUUUAGCUAAUGGCUGGUGACACCGAAUAUCAUUUCAUGUACUAAUUUGCCAUCCAUAAAUUCUCUUUGGUGAAAUAUCUCUUCAUGCCUUUUGCCCAUUUUCUAAAUAUAAUGUUGUUGUUUUUAACUGCUGAGUUUUGGGUGCUUUAUAUAUUCUAGUUUAUGAGUUCUCUGUUAGAUUAUUGGGAUUUGUUGGAUUUCUGGUUGGGUGUGCAAAUAUUUUCUGCCAGUCUGUAGCCUGUCUUUUCAUCUGCUUAACAGGGUUUUAGCCGAGCAAAAGUUUUAUAUUAUGAUAAAGUCUAAUUUAUCCCUUAUUUCUUUUAUGAUCAUGCUUUUGGUGUCAUGUGUAAUGUGU
Molecule: long non-coding RNA, 1407 nt
Organism: Physeter macrocephalus (sperm whale)
Lineage: Eukaryota; Metazoa; Chordata; Mammalia; Artiodactyla; Physeteridae
Exons: 4
Source: RefSeq, a predicted model, not a curated record